This 108-nucleotide ribosomal RNA is filed under the name Aplysina caissara. RNAcentral describes it as "partial 5.8S ribosomal RNA". It matches the Rfam family "5.8S ribosomal RNA", at positions 1 to 107 of the family's 154-position model. From Rfam's summary of the family: 5.8S ribosomal RNA (5.8S rRNA) is a component of the large subunit of the eukaryotic ribosome. It is transcribed by RNA polymerase I as part of the 45S precursor that also contains 18S and 28S rRNA. Functionally, it is thought that 5.8S rRNA may be involved in ribosome translocation. Lineage: Eukaryota; Metazoa; Porifera; Demospongiae; Verongiida; Aplysinidae. The record is from RNAcentral.
CAACUUCCAACGGUGGAUCUCUCGGCUUGUGCAUCGAUGAAGAACGCAGCAAAAUGCGAUACCUAGUGCGAAUUGCAGAAUUCAGUGAAUCAUAGAGUCUUUGAACGC